This 397-nucleotide ribosomal RNA is filed under the name uncultured bacterium. RNAcentral's name for it is "partial 16S ribosomal RNA". It matches the Rfam family "Bacterial small subunit ribosomal RNA", at positions 523 to 918 of the family's 1533-position model. The record is from RNAcentral.
AUACGUAGGUGACAAGCGUUAUCCGGAUUUACUGGGCGUAAAGGGCGUGUAGGCGGUCUUGCAAGUCAGAAGUGAAAUUCCUGAGCUCAACUCGGGCGCUGCUUCUGAAACUGCAGGACUUGAGUGCUGGAGGGGAUAGCGGAAUUCCUAGUGGAGCGGUAAAAUGCGCAGAUAUUAGGAAGAACACCGGUGGCGAAGGCGGCUAUCUGGACAGUAACUGACGCUGAGGCGCGAAAGCGUGGGGAGCAAACAGGAUUAGAUACCCUGGUAGUCCACACUGUAAACGAUGAAUGCUAGGUGUAGGGGGUAUCGACCCCUUCUGUGCCGCAGUCAACACAAUAAGCAUUCCGCCUGGGGAGUACGGCCGCAAGGUUGAAAUUCAAAGGAAUUGACGGGG